UGACUGCGUACCUUUUGUAUAAUGGGUCAGCGACUUAUAUUCUGUAGCAAGGUUAACCGAAUAGGGGAGCCGGAGGGAAACCGAGUCUUAACCGGGCGUUAAGUUGCAGGGUAUAGACCCGAAACCCGGUGAUCUAGCCAUGGGCAGGUUGAAGGUUGGGUAACACUAACUGGAGGACCGAACCGACUAAUGUUGAAAAAUUAGCGGAUGACCUGUGGCUGGGGGUGAAAGGCCAAUCAAACCGGGAGAUAGCUGGUUCUCCCCGAAAGCUAUUUAGGUAGCGCCUCGUGAAUUCAUCUCCGGGGGUAGAGCACUGUUUCGGCCAGGGGGCCAUCCCGGCUUACCAACCCGAUGCAAACUGCGAAUACCGGAGAAUGUUAUCACGGGAGACACACGGCGGGUGCUAACGUCCGUCGUGAAGAGGGAAACAACCCAGACCGCCAGCUAAGGUCCCAAAGUCAUGGUUAAGUGGGAAACGAUGUGGGAAGGCCCAGACAGCCAGGAUGUUGGCUUAGAAGCAGCCAUCAUUUAAAGAAAGCGUAAUAGCUCACUGGUCGAGUCGGCCUGCGCGGAAGAUGUAACGGGGCUAAACCAUGCACCGAAGCUGCGGCAGCGAACGUAUCACCCAAGACAACUUUGCACAGUUGACGAUUGACGGAGCGAAGCGACGUCAAAGCGUUUUACAACGUCGAGUUGGCUUAGGGAUACGUUCGUUGGGUAGGGGAGCGUUCUGUAAGCCUGUGAAGGUGUGUCGUGAGGCAUGCUGGAGGUAUCAGAAGUGCGAAUGCUGACAUAAGUAACGAUAAAGCGGGUGAAAAGCCCGCUCGCCGGAAGACCAAGGGUUCCUGUCCAACGUUAAUCGGGGCAGGGUGAGUCGACCCCUAAGGCGAGGCCGAAAGGCGUAGUCGAUGGGAAACGGGUUAAUAUUCCCGUACUUGGUGUUACUGCGAAGGGGGGACGGAGAAGGCUAUGUUGGCCGGGCGACGGUUGUCCCGGUUUAAGCGUGUAGGCUGGUUUUCCAGGCAAAUCCGGAAAAUCAAGGCUGAGGCGUGACGACGAGGCACUACGGUGCUGAAGCAACAAAUGCCCUGCUUCCAGGAAAAGCCUCUAAGCAUCAGGUAACAUCAAAUCGUACCCCAAACCGACACAGGUGGUCAGGUAGAGAAUACCAAGGCGCUUGAGAGAACUCGGGUGAAGGAACUAGGCAAAAUGGUGCCGUAACUUCGGGAGAAGGCACGCUGACACGUAGGUGAAGUGAUUUACUCAUGGAGCUGAAGUCAGUCGAAGAUACCAGCUGGCUGCAACUGUUUAUUAAAAACACAGCACUGUGCAAACACGAAAGUGGACGUAUACGGUGUGACGCCUGCCCGGUGCCGGAAGGUUAAUUGAUGGGGUCAGCGCAAGCGAAGCUCCUGAUCGAAGCCCCGGUAAACGGCGGCCGUAACUAUAACGGUCCUAAGGUAGCGAAAUUCCUUGUCGGGUAAGUUCCGACCUGCACGAAUGGCGUAAUGAUGGCCAGGCUGUCUCCACCCGAGACUCAGUGAAAUUGAACUCGCUGUGAAGAUGCAGUGUACCCGCGGCAAGACGGAAAGACCCCGUGAACCUUUACUAUAGCUUGACACUGAACAUUGAGCCUUGAUGUGUAGGAUAGGUGGGAGGCUUUGAAGCGUGGACGCCAGUCUGCGUGGAGCCGGCCUUGAAAUACCACCCUUUAAUGUUUGAUGUUCUAACGUGGACCCGUAAUCCGGGUUGCGGACAGUGUCUGGUGGGUAGUUUGACUGGGGCGGUCUCCUCCUAAAGAGUAACGGAGGAGCACGAAGGUUGGCUAAUCCUGGUCGGACAUCAGGAGGUUAGUGCAAUGGCAUAAGCCAGCUUGACUGCGAGCGUGACGGCGCGAGCAGGUGCGAAAGCAGGUCAUAGUGAUCCGGUGGUUCUGAAUGGAAGGGCCAUCGCUCAACGGAUAAAAGGUACUCCGGGGAUAACAGGCUGAUACCGCCCAAGAGUUCAUAUCGACGGCGGUGUUUGGCACCUCGAUGUCGGCUCAUCACAUCCUGGGGCUGAAGUAGGUCCCAAGGGUAUGGCUGUUCGCCAUUUAAAGUGGUACGCGAGCUGGGUUUAGAACGUCGUGAGACAGUUCGGUCCCUAUCUGCCGUGGGCGCUGGAGAACUGAGGGGGGCUGCUCCUAGUACGAGAGGACCGGAGUGGACGCAUCACUGGUGUUCGGGUUGUCAUGCCAAUGGCACUGCCCGGUAGCUAAAUGCGGAAGAGAUAAGUGCUGAAAGCAUCUAAGCACGAAACUUGCCCCGAGAUGAGUUCU
This 2317-nucleotide ribosomal RNA is filed under the name Salmonella enterica subsp. enterica serovar Kambole. Its description in RNAcentral is "bacterial LSU rRNA". It matches the Rfam family "Bacterial large subunit ribosomal RNA", at positions 594 to 2812 of the family's 2925-position model. The record is from RNAcentral. Lineage: Bacteria; Pseudomonadati; Pseudomonadota; Gammaproteobacteria; Enterobacterales; Enterobacteriaceae.